GCGCCCGUAGCUCAGCUUGGAUAGAGCGCCGGACUUCGAAUCCGUAGGUCGCAGGUUCGAAUCCUGCCGGGCGUACCA
RNAcentral lists this transfer RNA (78 nucleotides) under Acidobacteriota bacterium. Its description in RNAcentral is "Acidobacteria bacterium tRNA-Arg". It matches the Rfam family "tRNA". From Rfam's summary of the family: Transfer RNA (tRNA) molecules are approximately 80 nucleotides in length. Their secondary structure includes four short double-helical elements and three loops (D, anti-codon, and T loops). Lineage: Bacteria; Pseudomonadati; Acidobacteriota. RNAcentral also lists the same sequence under 2 other names. The record is from RNAcentral.